RNAcentral lists this ribosomal RNA (496 nucleotides) under uncultured bacterium. RNAcentral describes it as "partial 16S ribosomal RNA". It matches the Rfam family "Bacterial small subunit ribosomal RNA", at positions 29 to 507 of the family's 1533-position model. The record is from RNAcentral.
AUGAACGCUGGCGGCGUGCCUAAUACCUGCACGUCGAGCGAACAGACGAGGAGCUUGCUCCUCUGACGUUAGCGGCGGACGGGUGAGUAACACGUGGAUAACCUACCUAUAAGACUGGGAUAACUUCGGGAAACCGGAGCUAAUACCGGAUAAUAUAUUGAACCGCAUGGUUCAAUAGUGAAAGACGGUUUUGCUGUCACUUAUAGAUGGAUCCGCGCCGCAUUAGCUAGUUGGUAAGGUAACGGCUUACCAAGGCAACGAUGCGUAGCCGACCUGAGAGGGUGAUCGGCCACACUGGAACUGAGACACGGUCCAGACUCCUACGGGAGGCAGCAGUAGGGAAUCUUCCGCAAUGGGCGAAAGCUUGACGGAGCAACGCCGCGUGAGUGAUGAAGGUCUUCGGAUCGUAAAACUCUGUUAUUAGGGAAGAACAAAUGUGUAAGUAACUAUGCACGUCUUGACGGUACCUAAUCAGAAAGCCACGGCUAACUACGUG